AUGCUGCUGCUCUGCCCUGCUCGCCCCACCCCGCCCUGCGACAAUGACGGCCACAAUGACGCAUGCAGGUGGCUCCUUCCUCUUCCUGCGUGUCUUACACAGGUGUCACCCUCUCUAACCCUCCCUACCCCGGCUCCCAGUGCCAGGCGUACACAGGGGCUCCUGUCCCACCCUCCACCUGCCACCUGCCACGCCGCACUAUGCACUAUCGGUACUUGGUUCUGUGACGCCAGGGAUCCAGGGCUCUGUCCCCUGCUGGCUACUGUUUCGGGAUGCAACAAGCACCAAGCGGACACACACAUCCCUCGGCUGUGCUGCACUUCAGAUGAGACACCAGCACACAGGGAGGACUCUCACAGGCUGAGACUCAUAGCACACCCCGAAACCAGUGUGUCCUCACCUCUGGCUGGUCCUGGCAUAGUCACCUGCCUCAGUCUCCACGCGUCUCUCUGCACAGCGCCUGGUGAGGCCACCCUGGGAGAGCACCAGCGCUGCCAGCACGCAGCCUCCAGCCUUCCCAGCCCCCAUCUCCUCCUCCUCCCCACUGAGCACCCCAAAGGCCAGCUGGCUCAGCUGCACCCAUCACAGGAAGGUGGACUGUGUGUCCACAGGCACCUUAGCCAGGAGCAACCUUCGAAGGAAACCAGGCAGGGGCUGGAAGCGAGCACAGAGCACCAGCAAGGGGAAGUCAUCAACUGUCACCGCCAGCUGGGAAAGCCCUGCACAGGGAGCAGGCAGGGCCGCAUCUCUGCCAACCCGGUCCUGCAGGGCCAGAGCCCGCUGAGGAGCAAUGGGUGUUCCAGUGUCCGAGGCCCCCAGAGGGCAAGUGAUGGCCGAUACACGGCCAUCGACCUAAGGGCUGCAGAUGCUCAGUGAACCAAAGCCACUGAGCUGCACGUGGCAGAAUGGCUGGUUCCACAGUGCAAGAAUCACACUGCAGUUCAAAAGGUAUCACAGGAGGCCUCUGAGCAGCGAGGCAACUGUGUCACCUGCAAAACCAUCCUGGCUAUUGUACAGCAGUGGCAGGACAUUCAGGGAGACCAAGGAGGGGCAAAGCAAACGGAGCAGGGAAGAGAUCCGAGUCUACAACACAGCCAAAAAGACACACCUGAGGAGCAGGACAUGGGCUGGGACAGAGAAGGGGGCCUGCUCCCUAAGCUGGGGGGUGGGGGGGGUCCAGUUUAGUGAGAAGAGUAAGGAGGAGAAGGUUGGAGAAGGGCCCACAGGUCAAACUAAGUACAUACCUAUAACCCCAGUACUCAGGGAGGCUGAGGCAGGAGGACUCCAAGUUCCAGCCCAGGCUAGGCAAUUCAGGCCCCUUGGUGAGAGCCUGUCUCAAAAUUUU
RNAcentral lists this long non-coding RNA (1345 nucleotides) under Cavia porcellus (domestic guinea pig). Its description in RNAcentral is "lncRNA (ENSCPOG00000037482.1)". The record is from RNAcentral. Lineage: Eukaryota; Metazoa; Chordata; Mammalia; Rodentia; Caviidae.